UCUAAUCAUGGAAUACUGUAUUGCAUUUGGUACUGUAAAUUAAGUCUAAUUCUGUACUUUCAUUAACCUCUAGAUCUGGUUCACAUUCAACGGUGCUUCAGGAUUCGCUGUGAGAUUACAAAAUCAAGAUACAAUAUCAUUCCCAAACCGCACAACUAUUGGAGCAAUAACUUAUAUUACCAUCAGUGGUAACAUCGAUGUGACAGGCAUCUGGAUUCAUAACCCAUGAUGGAUGAUACUUCACGCACCAUAUACAAUACAUGAAAUUCAGCAUCAUGUAUUGUGAAAUGAAUACCUGGAGCCAUAGAAACAAUUUCUAGAUGGAAGAUGGCCAGAUGAAAACUGUCUUCUGAAUUAUAAUUAAAGGUUUCCAAGAUGUGC
Molecule: long non-coding RNA, 381 nt
Organism: Protopterus annectens (West African lungfish)
Lineage: Eukaryota; Metazoa; Chordata; Ceratodontiformes; Protopteridae
Exons: 2
Source: RefSeq, a predicted model, not a curated record